GAUGAACGCUAGCUACAGGCUUAACACAUGCAAGUCGAGGGGCAGCAUGGAAGAAGCUUGCUUCUUCUGAUGGCGACCGGCGCACGGGUGCGUAACGCGUAUCAAACCUGCCUCAUACUCGGGGAUAGCCUUGCGAAAGUAAGAUUAAUACCCGAUGUUGUUAUGUUUCCGCAUGGUGAUAUAACCAAAGAUUUAUCGGUAUGAGAUGGUGAUGCGUCCGAUUAGGUAGUAGGCGGGGUAACGGCCCACCUAGCCAUCGAUCGGUAGGGGUUCUGAGAGGAAGGUCCCCCACACUGGAACUGAGACACGGUCCAGACUCCUACGGGAGGCAGCAGUGAGGAAUAUUGGUCAAUGGACGGAAGUCUGAACCAGCCAAGUAGCGUGCAGGAUGACGGCCCUCCGGGUUGUAAACUGCUUUUAGUUGGGAAUAAAAAGAGGGACGUGUCCCUAAUUGUAUGUACCUUCAGAAAAAGGACCGGCUAAUUCCGUGCCAGCAGCCGCGGUAAUACGGAAGGUCCAGGCGUUAUCCGGAUUUAUUGGGUUUAAAGGGAGCGUAGGCGGAUUAUUAAGUCAGUGGUGAAAGACGGUGGCUCAACCAUCGUUAGCCAUUGAAACUGGUAGUCUUGAGUGCAGACAGGGAUGCUGGAACUCGUGGUGUAGCGGUGAAAUGCUUAGAUAUCACGAUGAACUCCGAUCGCGAAGGCAGGUGUCCGGGCUGCAACUGACGCUGAGGCUCGAAAGUGUGGGUAUCAAACAGG
Molecule: ribosomal RNA, 758 nt
Filed under: uncultured Prevotella sp.
Lineage: Bacteria; Pseudomonadati; Bacteroidota; Bacteroidia; Bacteroidales; Prevotellaceae
Description: bacterial SSU rRNA
Rfam family: Bacterial small subunit ribosomal RNA
Source: RNAcentral